AAUGAACGCUAGCGGCAGGCUUAAUACAUGCAAGUCGAGGGGCAGCACGGUUAGCAAUAACUGGUGGCGACCGGCGCACGGGUGCGUAACACGUAUACAAUCUACCUUAAACAGGGGGAUAGCCUUUCGAAAGAGAGAUUAAUACCCCGUAAUAAAUUGAACGGCAUCGUUUGAUUUUGAAAGCUCCGGCGGUUUGAGAUGAGUAUGCGUCUGAUUAGCUAGUUGGUGAGGUAACGGCUCACCAAGGCGACGAUCAGUAGGGGAUCUGAGAGGACUAACCCCCACACUGGUACUGAGACACGGACCAGACUCCUACGGGAGGCAGCAGUAAGGAAUAUUGGUCAAUGGAGGCAACUCUGAACCAGCCAUGCCGCGUGCAGGAUGACGGCCCUAUGGGUUGUAAACUGCUUUUAUACAAGAGAAAACCCUGGUACGUGUACCAGGUUGAUAGUAUUGUAAGAAUAAGCAUCGGCUAAACUUCGUGCCAGCAGCCGCGGUAAU
RNAcentral lists this ribosomal RNA (501 nucleotides) under uncultured bacterium. Its description in RNAcentral is "bacterial SSU rRNA". It matches the Rfam family "Bacterial small subunit ribosomal RNA", at positions 29 to 524 of the family's 1533-position model. The record is from RNAcentral.